RNAcentral lists this ribosomal RNA (253 nucleotides) under uncultured bacterium. Its description in RNAcentral is "partial 16S ribosomal RNA". It matches the Rfam family "Bacterial small subunit ribosomal RNA", at positions 524 to 776 of the family's 1533-position model. The record is from RNAcentral.
UACAGAGGUCCCAAGCGUUGUUCGGAUUCACUGGGCGUAAAGGGUGCGUAGGUGGUUGGGUAAGUCUGAUGUGAAAUCUCUGAGCUUAACUCAGAAACUGCAUUGGAUACUAUCCAGCUGGAGGAGUGGAGGGGGGACUGGAAUACUUGGUGUAGCAGUGAAAUGCGUAGAUAUCAAGUGGAACACCAGUGGCGAAGGCGAGUCCCUGGACACUUCCUGACACUGAGGCACGAAAGCUAGGGGAGCAAACAGG